UCUGCUGAGGGAACCAAAAUCAACCAAGGCAUAAGGGAAGCGUGUUUUUGUACGGACUUGUUUUUGAACGGCAAACAAAGCACCUGUCUUUGCUCAGGAUCAGGCUCUGCUGAUGUCCUCCAGGAAUCGGAUCUGCGUGAUGGUGUGACACGACUGGACCGCCUGGACGUAAACACACAUUUUGCACUGAAGAAAUUGCAGGCACCAAAUAUUCCCAAAAUACCAUCCUUGUGUAAAACAUUGUUCGUCAACCCGGGAUGAAAGACUCACUUGGUGCUUUGGGAGUGUAUGAGGACAUCUGCCUGCAGCUUGGGAAAGUAGCCCGGCUGGUGGCGACCCUGGCCGAUCCUCAUGUCCAGGAGGGUACCUGAUUCAAAGAGCGUGGAGCAUUUCCUGUAGCGACUCCCGGGAGACUCGGCCUGGUCCGUGUCGUAGAGUCGCUCCCUUUCCAGGCGACUGUCAAAGAGCUGUUGCAGUGGCUCGCGGUCAGCCCAGCGAGAG
Molecule: long non-coding RNA, 501 nt
Organism: Syngnathus typhle (broad-nosed pipefish)
Lineage: Eukaryota; Metazoa; Chordata; Actinopteri; Syngnathiformes; Syngnathidae
Exons: 3
Source: RefSeq, a predicted model, not a curated record